Equus caballus (horse) is the source of this 2520-nucleotide non-coding RNA. Lineage: Eukaryota; Metazoa; Chordata; Mammalia; Perissodactyla; Equidae. The record is from RefSeq and is a predicted model, not a curated record.
UGAAGCUGUGAACCUGGGGCCGCCGAAGUGGAGCGCACAAACUUAACCACUGCUCCGCCAGCCAGCCCCUCAUCAGAACUUCUGACUCCAGUUCAAUACCACACGCCCUGGACCACACUCUCUGCCAGCAGCUGUGUUUCUUGAGUACUGGGUGCUUGCUGUGUUGACCGAGGACAGGUUUUUACCUUGGGGGUCUACAAAUGGGUUUCAGGAGUCUACGAGCCCCCGAAAUGAUAUAACCCAAAUUUGAUGAGUACAUAUAUACUUUGUAAAGGGCAGGGGGAGUCUAGAGUUUUCAUCAGAUCUUCAGAGCAGUGUGAUGACCACCAAAUGUAGGAAAUGACUGGUUUACAUGAGUAAUCCAGAUAUUUCAGGUAAAAACCAUCUAUUUGGGAGCAUGCCGCUUAGCAUCUGCCCUCACCAGAGAUGCUGUUAGGGGCAGAGCUGACUGUUCAGUGAUGUUUGUUUUGUUACUAUGGGCAACCGGUUUAUGUCGCCCCAAAUCGAAAGUGGGUUUCCUGACACAAAUGACGCACUUUGGAGGCAAGCUUUGAGGACUAAACAGAGAAGUUACUGAAUUACUUUGGGGCCGAGUGAAGCACAGGUUUGGUGAGAAUGUCCUGCCUUCUAGAAGGUGACCCUUUAUCCUCUCUCCAUGUGCAACCAGAUUCCAAGAACCAGGUCUAAAAGGAGAAUGCGGCUUCUGCCUUCCACGUUUCAGGCGACCCUGGGCUUGGGAGAAGACCCAGAAAGAGCAGGGAGGCACAGGAAGCGGGACUCCCCUCUGUUUCUCUGCCCAGCUGUUCUGUCCUGUUCCAGCUGAGACUGAAGUCCGUAGGCAGCCACAUGUUUCAGAUUGAGCUAACUCCUCGCUGCCCUUAAAGGUGGCAGCACCAACUCAAGACUGCUGCCCCGCCGUCCUGGCUGUUAGCUGGGACUCAGAUUCCCCCAGGGCGCUCAACCGUCAUCUAUAGCUCCAGCUUUGGAGGCAACAAAGAAUUACGGAGAACCUGAGCCAGUGUCCUGCUUGCAGCCUGGAGGGUGUAUGAUGGCAAAGAGUGAAAGAGGAGAGCAGGAAUUCGGGACUCGGCAGUUUACGUAAAAUUCAAUGAUUGGACUUUGGUGGGAAUUCACACUCUGAAUUGAAAGCAGCUUCUCUGGCCUCUUGACCUCGCCAUGCCUGAGGCAGCUGUAGGAAGGGGUGGAGGGCAAGUAAAGGAAGAGCAGAGAGGAACCAGAGGCAGGAGUGCGCUUUUCCUUCAGAACUUGGCUUCUCUCUCUGCAAGAUUCACAGGCUGAAGCUGUUUCUCUCCCUCCGGAGGGCAUCAUGCUGACUCCUCCCUCCGUCCAUCCUCGUCCUCCAUCCCAUGCGGUCCACCCCCACCGCUCCCCUGUCCCCCCGACCCUCCUGCACUUCCCGAGUUCAGUUGUAAAACUCCAUUCUCCCCUGGGUGUCCCCAUGCUCACCCCUGACCCCAACUGAGUUCUCCAUGAAGCAGCCAGAGUAUCCUGUCCAGGUGACAAAUCUGACAAUGUCCCUCACCUGCUUAAAACCCUCAGUGGCUCCCUUUCCCUCUUAGGAUAAAGUACAAAACCUCUACACCAUCCAGCAGCUGCCUCUCACUGUUGCCUUGCCAUCCCCUCAAUCUGCCCCAGCCACUCUGACUUGGUUCCAUUCCUGGAAGGGCUGUGCUGCCUCCUGGCUCAGGGCCUUUGCACCAACUGUUCUCUCUGCCUGGAUGCCCUUCCCCUCUCUUUCACCCAAUUAGUUCCCACUCUUUCUUAGGAUCUAGCUCAUCUGUCCUUCUUUACAAAUUCUUACAAAUAACCUUCAUUGCCCUUAUCACAGUUCAACUUACGCCUGUGGGAGCGUUUGAUUGACAGUUGUCCUCCCAACUAGACCACAAGCUCCGUGAGGGCAGGGAGGGACCAUGUCUGUUUCCCUCACCACUGAAACCCCAUCACCAGCCACAGGCCCUGGCUGAGUCUCACCUCCUCCUCCAGAUCCCGUUCAAACAUCUCUGAGAGGCCCUCUCGGGCUCCCCGCUUUGUCAGUCCAUGAACCAGAGUGGACCACUACCACGCAUUUAUGGUGCCUCGCUGCAACAAUUUGCUCAUGUGUCUCUCUCAGCCACAGUGUGUGGACUCCGGGAGGGCUGGAACCACUGCUUUUGUUGUGUUUGUAUCCCCGACACCCAGCACAGUGCUUGGCCUGCAGGGGCCGCUGUGUGAAUAAAUGCAUCAUGGUAAAGACAGCUCCCUGGGCCGGGGUGUGAUCCUCCGUGAACUGAGCGGCUGGACCACAGGAUUCUGUGUGUCCUUUCUCUCACACUCUGGCUCCCACAUCACAUAACCCUGCCCGUCAGCGCCUCUCUGCUUUGUCACCCAUGUGCUUUAACAGUUGCCCUGGCAAUCAGCAAACCUCCUGCCACCACAGGUCCUGUGUUUCGCUCUGCAAAGAAAGCCUCACACCUCAGGCUUUCUAUACAUUAUGCAAAAAUAAGCCGUUUUAAUAGCUCC